GCGGGGGUGACCGAGUCCGGCCAAAAAAGGUUUUUUGGUUUAAGGUGCUGGGUUCAGGACCCAGUGGCGUAGGCCUGCGCGGGUUCGAAUCCCGUCCCCCGCA
Molecule: transfer RNA, 103 nt
Filed under: Candidatus Wukongarchaeum yapensis
Lineage: Archaea; Promethearchaeati; Candidatus Wukongarchaeota; Candidatus Wukongarchaeia; Candidatus Wukongarchaeales; Candidatus Wukongarchaeaceae
Also listed under: 1 other name
Description: tRNA-Leu
Rfam family: tRNA
About the family: Transfer RNA (tRNA) molecules are approximately 80 nucleotides in length.
Source: RNAcentral